This 430-nucleotide ribosomal RNA is filed under the name uncultured bacterium. RNAcentral's name for it is "bacterial SSU rRNA". It matches the Rfam family "Bacterial small subunit ribosomal RNA", at positions 355 to 776 of the family's 1533-position model. The record is from RNAcentral.
UAGGGAAUCUUCCGCAAUGGACGAAAGUCUGACGGAGCAAUGCCGCGUGAGUGAUGAAGGUUUUCGGAUCGUAAAACUCUGUUGUUAGGGAAGAACAAGUAUUGUUCUAACAGGACAGUACCUUGACGGUACCUAACCAGAAAGCCCCGGCUAACUACGUGCCAGCAGCCGCGGUAAUACGUAGGGGGCAAGCGUUGUCCGGAAUUAUUGGGCGUAAAGGGCACGCAGGCGGUCUUCUAAGUCUGAUGUGAAAUCCCACGGCUUAACCGUGGAAGGUCAUUGGAAACUGGAGGACUUGAGUGCAGAAGAGGAGAGUGGAAUUCCACGUGGAGCGGUGAAAUGCGUAGAUAUGUGGAGGAACACCAGUGGCGAAGGCGACUCUCUGGUCUGUAACUGACGCUGAGGUGCGAAAGCGUGGGUAGCGAACAGG